This 500-nucleotide ribosomal RNA is filed under the name uncultured bacterium. RNAcentral describes it as "bacterial SSU rRNA". It matches the Rfam family "Bacterial small subunit ribosomal RNA", at positions 28 to 545 of the family's 1533-position model. The record is from RNAcentral.
AGUGAACGCUGGCGGCGUGCCUAACACAUGCAAGUCGAACGAUGAUGGAGGAGCUUGCUCUUCCUGAUUAGUGGCGCACGGGCGAGUAUACCAUAGAUAAUGUACCUCUUAGUUUGGGAUAGCCACUGGAAACGGUGAUUAAUACCAGAUACCCCUUCUUGCCUCAAGGUAAGUCGGGAAAGUUUUUUCGCUAAGAGAUCAGUCUAUGUCCUAUCAGGUAGUUGGUGAGGUAAUGGCUCACCAAGCCUAUGACGGGUAUCUGGUUUGAGAGGAUGAUCAGACACACUGGAACUGAGGCACGGUCCAGACUCCUACGGGAGGCAGCAGUGAGGAAUAUUGCACAAUGGAGGAAACUCUGAUGCAGCAACGCCGCGUGGAGGAUGACGCAUUUCGGUGUGUAAACUCCUUUUAAGAGGGAAGAUUAUGACGGUACCUCUUGAAUAAGCACCGGCUAACUCCGUGCCAGCAGCCGCGGUAAUACGGAGGGUGCAAGCGUUACU